Molecule: long non-coding RNA, 275 nt
Filed under: Salvia miltiorrhiza (redroot sage)
Lineage: Eukaryota; Viridiplantae; Streptophyta; Magnoliopsida; Lamiales; Lamiaceae
Description: long non-coding RNA (SMIL_LNC000209)
Source: RNAcentral
GGGCGGCCUCUCGUCUCACCUUCGAGAAGGCCGACUCGGCUGAGGGAAUGGGUGUCUCCUUGAGGAUAUCCCGCCGGAUGCUAUCGUAUUUUGCAUCCAACCCGGAGAGGAAUUGAUAAAGCCGCCGAUUCUCGUUUAAUUUUUUAUAUUUGUUGAUUCCCUCUUCACAGCAACUAAGAGGAUUAGGCUCUCUCCUGUCGAUGGUAAGCCAUAUGGUUUGCAACUCGUUCCAGUAAUUUUCUAAGGUAAGUUGUCCCUGAUUUACCUUGUUGGCU